Molecule: long non-coding RNA, 364 nt
Organism: Paramacrobiotus metropolitanus
Lineage: Eukaryota; Metazoa; Tardigrada; Eutardigrada; Parachela; Macrobiotidae
Exons: 3
Source: RefSeq, a predicted model, not a curated record
GCGUAAUACGUCUCCUGUUGCUACCGGUGCUUCCCUUUGAAAAUAUCUCUCACUGCCGCCAAGAGCAGUAUUUGGAUUUCGAAGCUGGAGAAGUUCGUUACAUGCUUCCCUGAAAUCCACUUCCAUCUUGGGAUAUGCAUCGGGCCGACCGAAGACUUAUUGUUGAGCUGGACUCUCGCAUGCGUAAGAUCCCGUUGAAGAGACUCUUCAGCGUCUUUAGCCCGCUUCUUUUCGUCAUCCAAGUCUUUGAUGCGAUGAGCGUGCGGAGACUUUGGAUCAAUACGGGCAUAGUUUGCCGGACUAUCAAGCCCACAUCCUGGUCAGUUUCUGCCGCAGCCAACUGCUCAUCGACUUCCCUAGCUUG